RNAcentral lists this transfer RNA (71 nucleotides) under Loxodonta africana (African savanna elephant). It matches the Rfam family "tRNA". From Rfam's summary of the family: Transfer RNA (tRNA) molecules are approximately 80 nucleotides in length. Their secondary structure includes four short double-helical elements and three loops (D, anti-codon, and T loops). Lineage: Eukaryota; Metazoa; Chordata; Mammalia; Proboscidea; Elephantidae. The record is from Rfam by way of RNAcentral.
GCAUUGGUGGUGCAGUGGUAGAAUUCUCAUCUUCCAUGUGGGAGACCUGGGUUCACUUCCCGGGCAAUGCA